UUAAGCUGAAGAGUUUGAUCAUGGCUCAGAUUGAACGCUGGCGGCAGGCCUAACACAUGCAAGUCGAGCGGUAACAGGGGUAGCUUGCUACCCGCUGACGAGCGGCGGACGGGUGAGUAAUGCAUAGGAAUCUGCCCGAUAGUG
RNAcentral lists this ribosomal RNA (144 nucleotides) under Vreelandella titanicae. RNAcentral's name for it is "Halomonas titanicae 16S rRNA. Bacterial SSU". It matches the Rfam family "Bacterial small subunit ribosomal RNA", at positions 1 to 138 of the family's 1533-position model. The record is from RNAcentral. Lineage: Bacteria; Pseudomonadati; Pseudomonadota; Gammaproteobacteria; Oceanospirillales; Halomonadaceae.